This is a non-coding RNA of Lolium perenne, 2183 nucleotides long. Lineage: Eukaryota; Viridiplantae; Streptophyta; Magnoliopsida; Poales; Poaceae. The record is from RefSeq and is a predicted model, not a curated record.
UCUGCUGUCUGCAAGCUUUUUUCAAACUUCUGCUGACCACUGCUGGUCUUGGAGUAUAAUUCUGAUGCUAUUAUGUUUGAGGACUCUUUACGAGUCAACUACGGAUGGCAAGACAUUUGUUGACUGCUUCAAGGACCAGAAUAUCAUGCCCGGUAUCAAGGUUGACAAGGAUCCAACAAUGAAUGUCAGUGCCAAGGUCUGGAUGGAUUGGCUUCAAGAUGUGCCGAGUACUACAAGCAGGGGGCACGUUUUGCAAAGUGGUCAGUUUAUACCCUCAUUGUGCAUUUUCUGACUCAUGAGAAUGACUUUCCCUUUCUAAGCCUGCGAUGAUGUAUCUGUCUUCUCCAUGUGAAUUGUUGAAGUGUCAUGGGGUCUUGCCCGUUAUGCUGCUAUUGCUCAAGUCACUACAUUUCCAACUACUGAACUUUUCGCAAUGAAGAAGUCAUCCUUUCUGUAGUGCAUUUCUGGUGGACAUAAACAUAGUAGAAAACAGUAGCUAUAACCAAAACAAUGUUUAGGGUUGCAAGAAUAUCCAGCUCUCUCUAGACCUCUCUGUAUGAUCACUGAACAAACUCAUCAUGCAGUAGAGUAUGAACCCUAAUGAUUCUGAUCCUCUUCUUCAGGUGGAGUGCAAUUGAGGUAAAAGAAUGCUUGUGCCAUUGUUGCAUGAAACCAAUGAUUUUUGUGCUUAGUGUUGUGGCCCUUUGCUUUAAUACUUCUGAUGGUACAGUACAUGUUGAUGUCUUCUUGCAGAUGAGCACCAUAAUACGAGUAACACAUAAUGUCAACUUGCAGAUUUUGUGGUAGUGGUGGUUCGCAGUUGGCUAAGCCUGGAGCUGGUGGCGUCCCCAAAUGAGAUGGGAUUAUCUCUGUAUCAUCUGCAACAACAGAAGCCAUCCAUUAGAAGUGAAGCAAAUGAGUGAGAAUGGCAUGCACGUCUUGACUGACUGCAUCCAAACACACCAGUAGGAUUACCACUAUCCUGGAUGUGUUUGCAAAUCAAAACAUAGCAGUGCUAGAUUAAGCUAGAGGUAUAUUUUGGAUACAAUGCUUUAGUUAACCGUAGGCUGAUUUACUGACAUUUGUAUUUGGUAGAGAAAUUUACCACUGUUUGUGCCAUGCUAGCUUUCUGGAACAAACAGUUCCAUCUUUUCCAAGAGGAACAAGAAUAACUCCUUUGAAUGCCUACCUCCAGUGUGAUGAGAUUUAGUCUGAUGUUCUGACUCAAUACCAAUGUAAAUGCUACCCUGUUGGGGUUGUCUGGCAGUUGUAAACUUCACUGUUGUACAUAUGUGUUGGUAAUAGUUUUUUAUCCUUGCAGGUUGUGCCAUUUUGUGUUCUGAUUGAUUUGCAGGGAUACGUAAGUUCGUUGUUGCGGUGUCUAUUUAUGGCAUGUCUGGUUCUUCAGUUCUUAAUUUUUUUGAAUUGUGAGAUGUAAGCUAAUGCUAUUUUGCAACACGUUAAGGCGGUAAAUUGUCCAUGGCACUAAAAUUAGUUGUCCAUGUAUGAACUAUGAUCCUUGAUCAUUUAAGCUUAAAUGCUUGGCCCCUGUUAUGCUUCCCAGGGCUUCUAUACAGUGAGUUAUGUUGUCUCAAGGAGUUACUUGCACUAUUGUUUUUGGUACGACAUUUAUUAAUAUAAUUUCCAGAUUAUCCAAACAUGCUCAUUAUGUAUUACCUUGUUUGCGGUGUUCCGUUUGUAUUUAUAUUAACUGUUCAGGUAUUUUUGUGCCAAUGGUCUAAAAAUGCACUUCAAAUAAUUAAGUUGAUGUCCCAAGAGUAUUUGGCGAAAUGAUGUACUCCCUCCGGUUUAAAAUAAGUGUUGGAUAUUUAAUUAGUUCAAGCUUUAUACUACAUCAAUAUAAAAUGUUUGGCACUUUUGCAGGAGGGAGACAAUAAUACCUUGUUGACUUGACAACUUUGAUGGCCCAGAACAUAGGUGUGUGAGACUUUCCGCGGAAGAGUAACAGGAAGACGCAAAACUUGGAACCACGUAGAUGCACAACAAUGUUGUCUUGUUUUUGCAUUUGAUAUUAUGAUGUUGUAGUAAAUUAUUUGGUAUUAUUAUGUUGUAGUAAAUUAUGAUAUCUCUGAUUUGUUCUGAAUUUUUAUAGUGAGAUAUGAAUUAUAUAUGUGCAUUGAUAAAAAAAAUUUGAGUACUCGUGGCAACGCACGGGCAUUUGU